GGGGCCAUCGUCUAGUGGUUAGGACACCAGGUUUUCAUCCUGGUAACAGGGGUUCGAUUCCCCUUGGCCCUACCA
Molecule: transfer RNA, 75 nt
Filed under: Patescibacteria group bacterium
Lineage: Bacteria
Description: tRNA-Glu
Rfam family: tRNA
About the family: Transfer RNA (tRNA) molecules are approximately 80 nucleotides in length. Their secondary structure includes four short double-helical elements and three loops (D, anti-codon, and T loops). Further hydrogen bonds mediate the characteristic L-shaped molecular structure. tRNAs have two regions of fundamental functional importance: the anti-codon, which is responsible for specific mRNA codon recognition, and the 3' end, to which the tRNAs corresponding amino acid is attached (by aminoacyl-tRNA synthetases). tRNAs cope with the degeneracy of the genetic code in two manners: having more than one tRNA (with a specific anti-codon) for a particular amino acid; and 'wobble' base-pairing, i.e. permitting non-standard base-pairing at the 3rd anti-codon position.
Source: RNAcentral